UGGGGAAUUUUGGACAAUGGGCGAAAGCCUGAUCCAGCCAUGCCGCGUGAGUGACGAAGGCCUUAGGGUUGUAAAACUCUUUCGUCGGGGACGAUAAUGACGGUACCCGAAGAAGAAGCUCCGGCUAACUUCGUGCCAGCAGCCGCGGUAAUACGAAGGGAGCUAGCGUUGUUCGGAAUCACUGGGCGUAAAGCGCGUGUAGGCGGCUUGUUAAGUUGGUUGUGAAAACCCAUGGCUCAACCAUGGAAGUGCGUCCAAAACUGGCAAGCUAGAGUUCUGACGAGGAUGGCGGAAUUCCCAGUGUAGAGGUGAAAUUCGUAGAUAUUGGGAGGAACACCGGUGGCGAAGGCGGCCAUCUGGGAAGAUACUGACGCUGAGGUACGAAAGCGUGGGGAGCAAACAGGAUUAGAUACCCGUGUAGUCCCUGAGCGGGCUGGCAAGGCGCAU
Molecule: ribosomal RNA, 447 nt
Filed under: uncultured bacterium
Lineage: Bacteria
Description: bacterial SSU rRNA
Rfam family: Bacterial small subunit ribosomal RNA
Source: RNAcentral